UUUAUGUUUAAAAGGGCGGUCCUUUUUCAUCAGAAAGAAACGUAGAGGGCAGAGCAUUGUUUGUGUCUCCAACGCCUGCACUUGGAGAGACAGAGUAGGUUUCUUAGAGCUCAGGGGGUUUUGUAAGACCAUAGCCAAGAGGGAGGUUUGGUCUUCUGUGUAGGUAUUUAACACUGUUCAUAUGUUCUUGCUAAUUUGAUGAGAAAGAACAAGCUGUAAAAACAGUCCUUCCAGCAGGCCAGGAAAGAGCAAGAGUCCACAGGGUUUCAAAAAAGUGACAGGAAAAAUCCAUGGAAGAGAAAUCUCUUGAGGCUGUGAAACAGAAAGACACCACCCUCUGAAGCUCCUGAAGUUUCAUAGCAUACUUUCCUUGAUUUUUAUACUCUUCCCUGACAUCUGCUCUUGGUCAUUCUUGGUGAGAAAGGAAGAUCAAAAGAAAAGUUUUCACUACAUUUGGCCUCAUCUGGAUUUUGUGAUAUUAAAGGCUGCCAGAUCUCCUGACUGAGUGAAGAGAACAUCAAAAGAGACUCUUCCUCAACCUCACCAAGCAGUGUGGCCUCAUAAUUUGGCUGUCCAGG
Molecule: long non-coding RNA, 578 nt
Organism: Corapipo altera (White-ruffed manakin)
Lineage: Eukaryota; Metazoa; Chordata; Aves; Passeriformes; Pipridae
Exons: 4
Source: RefSeq, a predicted model, not a curated record